UAUUAUUACAAAAUUCUCUUUUGAAAGACAAUCAUAGAUCUUGAUUCUUCAUUUCGUAAAACCCUAGAAAAAUUUCCCCAACUUUGAUCGGUUCUUCCAAUUGAUUUCAUCCUAAAAGGUGCAAGCAUUGAGUUUGAUGAAGUGAUGGUGAGCUGGAACAGUCUGUCUUGCAUUGAUUGUUGGCUUUUCAAGUAUUGAUUGUGUGCUUCGGGGGAAGAAUGAACAUUGUAAAGGGUGUCGCGGGACUUAUUCGAAGGAGUUCGGGUAGCCAUGGUGGAGAAUCCAGUUCAGGGUCACCACUAGAGAAGUUCUCCCCUCCUACUCCACUCAUCCACUUCAGUGAGGUUGGGGAUGAGGCAAUUCUGAAUACACUCUGGUCAAGAUACGAGAAUGCCCCUGAUAAGGUUGAAAAGAGAAGGUUAAUGCAUAUCUUUUUGAAGCAAUUCCUAAUUGUAUACCGUGAUUGGCAACCAAUUAACCCUCUUCAGUCUCCUAAGGAUCAUGGCUUUGUGCAGCCGGUGGAUUCACAGCAUUCUGGAGAUGUUGUGGUUGGCUGUUCUUUUGGACAUCCUUCUGAAAUUAUAGCUGCCCUCAUUGAGGAAGUUGCACAAAUGAUAACGCUUGUUAAUGAACACUUAUCAAGAAAUUCUUCUACAAUAACCUCCGAAGGGCUGCCUAUCUUGGAUUCUUUGACUGUUAUUACUCGGUCAAUGCACAAUUGCAGAGUUUUUGGCUACUAUGGUGGUAUUCAGAAGCUUACGGCAUUAAUGAAAGCUGCUGUUGUCCAACUGAAGGCUAUUGCUAGUGCUCUUUCGGCAGAUGAAGCUUUGUCGAACCCUGUUGCAGAGAAGAUUGCAAUUCUCCAGAACAUUCUUUUAUAUGUGGUGUCUAUUAUUGGUAGCUUUAUUAACUUGCAUUUCAGCACACCCAAAAAGACUUGGUUGAAUAGUGGUUACAUGGAGAUUUUUGGGCCUAGAAGUGUUGAAAUACAUGACAUUGUUACUGGCAUAGAUGUGUCUGAUUCUGAAACAAUGAUAAGGUGGCGUCAAAAGGCAAUUGUCUCUGUAAUGGAAGCUGGUGGUCUUAACUGGUUAGUAGAGCUGUUGCGUGUUAUGAAGAGGUUGAGUAUGAAGGAGCAGGAUACAGAUAUUUCACUUCAUUAUCUAACUCUUAGAGCUCUUCAAUUAGCAUUAGUUGAUAACCCUCGCGGUCAGAAUCAUUUUCGAAGUAUUGGAGGACUGGAAGUUCUGUUGGAUGGACUCGGAGUUGCAUCUAACAGUGCUCUGAGAAUGAGAGACUUCUCAACUUCAGAUACAUCAAGGAAUGCCAAUAUUUUAAUGUGUACGUUCCAGCUCCAUGUUCUCUCGUUGGAGGUUCUAAGAGAGGCGGUCUUUGGAAAUUUGAAUAAUUUGCAAUUUUUAUCAGAAAAUGGACGAGUGCAGAAGUUUGCAAAUAGCUUUUGUUCACUUGCAUUCAUGCUUCAAGAGUACAAGGAGAAAAGUGACAACUUGUUUGCCCAGGAUGACAUGGAAAUAACUGUUUCUAGUGAUAAUGAUACAACUGGGGAAGAAGUUCUAGAAACAAAACUUUCUAGUAAAUCCAGUACACCUUACUUAAAGAAUUGGCACGACUAUGUUUCCAAGCUUAGUACUGUCCUUUUCACUUUCCUUCUUUCACCAGAAGAUGCAAAGGCGGAUAACAGCCAAACAUCCACUGUAAAAAGUAGCUUGCCAGUCUCUUCAGCAUAUGGAGAACUUUCUGUAAAGUGGAUCAUUAGAGUUCUCCUCACAGUCUUUCCAUGCAUAAAAGCAUGCUCAAAUCAGAAGGAGCUGCCUGGUCACUUAAGGACAUUUAUCUACACCCUUCAGCAUCAUGUUCUAUCUGCAUUCAAGAAAAUUCUGGUGUUGUUGCCAUCUUUGCUACAUGUAUUCCGGGCAGAAGGAGCUUGGGACUUUAUCUUCUCAGAGAAUUUCUUUUAUUUUUGCCUAGAAUCACUAGGUUCUUCUGACGAUUCCUUAUCAAAAAAAGGUUAUUCUGAUGAUUGUAAUGAACAGUGUUGUGAUUCAAAUGGCAGAACUGCUAGCCUAAACCUUCAUGAGCUUGAAGCUCUUCAGACAGAAGUGGUUUCAUUUUUGGAGUUUGCAGCAACUUUAACCGGAAGUUCUCACAACCUGCCUGAGUGCUCCAUUUUGCUGGAGGCUCUUGAACAAUCUGCUUGUAAUCCUGGGGUUGCAAAUCUUCUUGCUAAGGGCCUACUUCAAAUGAUGCAGUCUUCAUCAGAGAAAACUCUUUCUUCUUUUAAAACACUCGAUGCAGUUCCUCGUGUCCUCAAAGUUGCCUGCAUUCAGGCCCAAGAGUCUAAAAGGCAUGGCAUUGCUAGUCCUCAAACUGAGGAUGAUCCUGUUCCUUCUCUAAACCAAGACAUGGCAAAUUCUUUCGAGAUGAUUCAUAGUUGGCAGAACAGCAUGGAAACUUUUAUUGAACUCUUCACUGAAUUUUUCUCUCUUACAAAUGAUGCCAAAAACUCUACUUUGCACAGUGCUACCUGCGUUGAUCAUUUGUUUGAAUUGUUUUGGGAAGAAAAAUUGAGAAAUCACAUGCUUCCUCUUAUUCUUGAUUUGAUGAAGAUUGUUCCAUCUUCUGAGGAGGACCAGAAAGCUAAAUUGUAUUUAUGUUCUAAGUAUCUGGAAACAUUUACUCAUGUUAAGGACCGGGAGAACUUUGUAGAAUUGUCUAUUGAUCUAUUGGUUGGGAUGAUUGAUUUGCUUUUGACAGAUAUAGAGUAUUAUCAGGCUUUAUUUCGUGAGGGCGAGUGUUUUAUACAUGUUGUAUCCUUGCUAAAUGGAAACCUUGACGUGCCCAAAGGUGAAGAGCUGGUUCUGAAUGUCCUCCAAACACUAACCUGCUUGCUUUCUGGGAACGAUGUGUCAAAGGCUGCGUUUCAAGCUCUUGUGGGCACAGGUUAUCAGACUUUGCGUAGCUUGCUGUUGGACUUCUGCCAAUGGCAACCAAGUGAGGCGCUUUUAGAUGCUCUGCUUGAUAUGUUGGUUGAUGGGAAAUUUGAUCUCAAGGCAAGCCCUGUGAUAAAGAAUGAAGAUGUCAUCUUGCUAUAUCUCAGUGUCCUGCAAAAGAGCAGUGACUCAUCGCGGAAUCAGGGGCUUGAUAUUUUUCUUCAGCUUAUAAGAGAUUCAAUGUCCAAUCAAGCUUCUUGUGUUAAAUCAGGGAUGCUAAACUUUCUUCUUGAUUGGUUUCCCCAAGAGGGCAAGGACACCGUUGUCUUGAAAAUUGCCCAAUUAAUUCAGGUUAUUGGUGGGCAUAGCAUUUCUGGAAAAGAUAUACGCAAAAUCUUUGCUUUACUCCGGAGUGAGAAAGUAGGGUCGCAUCAGCAGUACAGCUCAUUGCUUUUGACCAGCAUGCUGUCAAUGCUCAACGAGAAGGGACCAACUGCCUUCUUUGAUCUCAAUGGGGUGGAAUCGGGAAUUUCGAUAAAGACUCCAGUUCAGUGGCCAUUGAAUAAGGGGUUCUCUUUUACUUGUUGGCUAAGAGUAGAAAGCUUUCCUAGAGGUGGUGGAACAAUGGGGCUUUUCAGUUUUCUCACUGAAAGUGGAAGAGGAUGCAUUGGUGUUCUUGGAAAAGACAAGCUUAUAUAUGAGUCAAUUAAUCAGAAAAGGCAAUCCGUUGUGCUGCAAGUCAAUCUUGUUAGAAAGAAGUGGCAUUUUUUGUGUUUAACACAUACAAUUGGUAGGACAUUUUCUGGAGGUAGCCAACUGAAGUGUUAUUUGGAUGGAACUCUUGUAUCCUCUGAAAAAUGCAGAUAUGCAAAGGUAAAUGAGCCUAUGACUUGUUGCACUAUUGGCAUGAAAAUUAGUCUACCUUCCUAUGAGGAAGAGAGUCCUACACUUUCUUCGAAAGAUCCAUCUGCUUUCUAUGGUCAGAUUGGUCCAGUUUACUUGUUCAAUGAUUCCAUUGCUUCAGAACAUGUGCAAGGCAUCUAUUCUUUAGGACCUAGCUACAUGUAUUCCUUCCUGGAUAAUGAAACUGCAGUUCAUUUGGAUAACCCAUUGCCCAGUGGAGUGCUUGAUGUUAAAGAUGGUCUUGCAUCCAAAAUCAUAUUUGGACUUAAUUCACAGGCACGUAAUGGAAGACGUUUAUUUAAUGUUUCACCUGUGGUGGAUCCUGGAAUAGAUAAAAGUUCAUUUGAAGCAACUGUAUUGGUUGGGACACAGCUGUGUUCUAGACGACUGCUUCAACAGAUCAUAUAUUGUGUUGGGGGCGUCUCUGUGUUUUUCCCUCUUUUCACUAAAACUGAUUUGUAUGAAAUAGAAGAAGCUAAGCAAGCUGGCCAAGAUUUACUUACCCCAAUUACAAAGGAGCGCUUAACUGCAGAAGUUAUUGAACUUAUAGCUUCUGUUCUGGAUGACAAUUUAGCCAAUCAACAACAGAUGCUGCUUCUUUCUGGAUUUCCAAUGCUGGGUUUCUUGCUGCAGUCAGUUCCACCUGAGCAAUUAAAUAUGGAUACACUGUCUGCUUUGAAACAUUUGUUGAAUGUGGUUGCAAUUGGUGGUCUGUCAGAUAUGCUAGUCAAGGAUGCUAUAUCCCAUAUAUUUCUCAGCCCUGUUAUAUGGGUCUACUCAGUUUACAGGGUUCAACGUGAACUGUAUAUGUUUCUCAUCCAGCAAUUCGAUAAUGAUCCAAGGUUGCUGAGAAGUUUAUGUAGGCUCCCACGUGUUCUGGACAUAAUUCGGCAGUUUUACUGGGAUGAUGUCAAAACUCGUUUUGCUGUUGGAAGCAAGCCUCUUUUACAUCCUGUAACCAAGCAAGUUAUAGGGGAGAGACCUAGCAAAGAUGAAAUACAUAAAAUUCGUCUCCUUCUAUUGAGUCUUGGUGAGAUGAGUCUCAGGCAGCAUAUUUCAGCAUCAGAUAUAAAAUCUCUCAUAGCCUUUUUUGAGCGUAGCCAGGACAUGGCUUGUAUUGAAGAUGUUCUACAUAUGGUUAUUCGAGCUGUUUCCCAGAAACAGCUGCUUGCUUCUUUCCUUGAACAAGUCAAUUUGAUUGGUGGCUGUCACAUAUUUGUAAAUCUUCUUGAAAGGGACUUCGAACCCAUCAGGCUACUAGGUCUGCAGUUCCUUGGACGACUGCUGGUUGGUCUUCCGUUGGAGAAGAAAGGAUCAAAAUUUUUCAGUAUUGCUGUUGGCAGAUCUAAAUCUCUUCUAGAGGGCCCUAGGAAAGUUAGUUCAAGGACACAGCCCAUUUUCUCAGUUAUAUCUGACAGACUGUUCAAAUUUCCUCAGACAGAUCUCUUAUGUGCGACAUUAUUUGAUGUUCUGCUUGGAGGUGCCAGCCCUAAACAGGUUCUACAGAAGCAUAAUCAACUUGACCGUCAAAAAAGUAGCAAAAGUAGCUCUCAGUUUUUCCUUCCUCAGAUUUUAGCCAUUAUUUUCAGAUUUUUGUCUGGUUGCAAGGAUGCUCCUACAAGAAUAAAAAUUAUUAGCGAUCUACUUGAUCUUCUCGAUUCAAAUACUACAAACAUUGAAGCUCUAAUGGAACACGGUUGGAAUGCAUGGCUGGAUGCCUCGGUGAAGCUUAAUGCAUUGAAAAACUACAAAUUGGAGUCGAAAAUUAAUGAUGACACUGAAACGAGUGAGCAAAAUCUAUUGAGGAGUUUCUACUGUGUUGUUCUUUGUCAUUAUAUGCAUUCUAUAAAAGGUGGCUGGCAACACUUGGAGGAGACUGUGAACUUUCUCCUUGUACAAUGUGAACAAGGUGGCAUUUCUUAUAGGCACUUUCUUCGUGAUCUGUACGAGGACUUAGUCCGCAAGUUGUUAGACUUAUCUGCAGUGGAGAAUGUUCUCAUCACUCAGCCUUGUCGAGACAACAUGCUGUAUCUUUUGAAACUUGUUGAUGAGAUGCUUCUUUCUGAAAUGAAGUUUAAUCUUCCGUAUCCAGCCAGCAACACAGAAUUUUCUUCAGAGUUUUUAGAACUAGAACAGCUGAAAGACCUUGGUUCUGCUUUACUUGAUGCCCUCCAAGGAGAACCUGAUGAGAAGCUAUCAAGGAGUCAUGUUUUCAAGCUGCCUGACACUAAUGAAGUUGAGAAAAUUGACGAUGAGUGGUGGAAUUUAUGUGACAAUAUUUGGAGUGCUAUUAGUGAGAUGAAUGGCAAGGGACCAAGCAAGAUGUUACCCAGGUCCUCACAGUCAGUUGCACCAUCACUUAGCCAAAGAGCCCGUGGCUUGGUAGAAUCACUGAAUAUACCAGCUGCAGAAAUGGCUGCAGUUGUUGUAUCUGGGGGAAUUAGCAAUGCUUUGGCUGGAAAACCCAACAAGCCUGUUGAUAAGGCUAUGCUUUUAAGAGGGGAAAAGUGUCCAAGAAUUGUAUUUCGGUUGAUUAUUCUAUAUCUUUGUAAAUCAUCGCUUGAACGAGCAUCUCGAUGUGUACAACAGAUUAUCCCUCUUUUACCUUGCCUUCUGACUGCUGAUGAUGAGCAAAGCAAGAGCCGCUUGCAGCUUUUUAUUUGGGCAUUACUUGCAGUUAGGUCUCAUUAUGGGGCACUGGAUGAUGGGGCUAGAUUUCAUGUUAUAGCUCACAUAAUUCGGGAAACUGUCAAUUGCGGGAAACUUAUGCUAGCUACAAGUAUAGUGAGCAGAGAAGAUUCUGUAGAAUCAGGGAGCAGUACUAAAGAGGGAAGCACCAUUCACAAUCUGAUUCAAAAGGAUCGUGUGCUUUCUGCGUUUGCUGAUGAAGUAAAAUAUGUCAAGAGUUCAACAGCAGAUAGGACCACACAGUUGCAUGAGCUUCGUGUGAGGUUGGAUGAAACGACAAUCACAGACUCCAACCAAAAGAAAGCUUUUGAAGAUGAAAUACAGAGUAGUUUAAAUGUCAUUCUUGCCUCUGAUGACAACAGAAGGAGUUCUUUCCAACUAGCAUAUGAUGAGCAGCAGCAAAUUGUUGCUGGCAAGUGGAUUCACACUUUUCGCUCUCUUAUUGAUGAAAGGGGUCCUUGGUCAGCUGAUCCUUUCCCAAACAGCACAUUAACACACUGGAAACUUGAUAAAACAGAGGACACAUGGCGUCGCCGACAGAAGUUGAGAAGGAAUUAUCAUUUUGAUGAAAAACUUUGUCGUCCUACCUCUACCACACCUAGUAUUGAGGUUCUUAAUCCUUCCAAUGAUGCCAAAUCUGGUUUUGCGGCACAUAUUCCAGAGCAAAUGAAGAGGUUCUUGCUGAAAGGAAUUAGGAGGAUUACUGAUGAGGGUCCAUCUGAAUUGAAUGAAAGCGAGAGCGAGCUUAGUGGGCAAAAGCCUGGCUCCGAAGACUUGUCCGAUAGACAGUAUUUGGAGGUCGUAAAAGAAAGUGGUGAUCUGAAGGACAUCGCUAAGGAAGACUUAGAUUGCUCCUCCACCCAGAUGGAAUCAGAGGAUAGUGAGGUUCUCAUGUCAGUCCCCUGUGUCCUUGUUACACCAAAGAGAAAGUUAGCUGGACAUUUAGCAGUGAAAAAGAAAUUUUUGCAUUUCUUUGGUGAAUUUCUUGUCGAAGGUACAGGAGGGUCAUCUGUUUUCAGAAACUUUGACUCUUCUGGUAAGUUUGAUAUCAACAAGUCGGAACAGUUAGGGGGGCUCCAAAAUCACAAAUAUCUCAAGUGGCCCAUGAGUUAUGAUUUAGAUAACGAGAGAGGGAGAGCCAUUAAUAGCAUUGGUGCUGUCAAUAAUGACGAGCAUCAAAAGCAUCCUAACAACAUAAAUCGGCACAGGAGAUGGACAAUCUUCAAGGUAAAGGCUGUCCAUUGGACUAGAUAUUUGCUAAGAUAUACAGCGAUUGAAAUUUUCUUCAGUGAUUCCACUGCUCCUGUAUUUUUUAACUUUGCUUCAAAAAAGGAUGCCAAAGACGUUGGAAGCUUAAUAGUUCUAAACAGAAACGAAAGUAUGUUUCCCAAGGGUUACAGGGACAAGGCUGGAGUUAUUUCUUUUGUGGACAGACGUGUGGCAUUGGAGAUGGCAGAAAAUGCUAGAGAACGCUGGAAGAGGAGGGAGAUAACAAACUUUGAGUAUUUGAUGGCUCUGAACACUCUAGCUGGGAGAUCUUACAAUGAUCUGACCCAGUAUCCCGUGUUCCCUUGGAUUCUGGCUGAUUAUUCCUCGGAAACUCUUGAUUUUAACAAAUCUUCUACCUUUAGGGAUCUAUCAAAACCUGUUGGAGCACUGGAUGCUAAAAGGUUCGAGGUUUUUGAGGAUAGAUAUCGCAGCUUCUCUGACCCUGAUAUUCCCAGUUUCUACUACGGUUCUCAUUACUCGAGCAUGGGAAUUGUGCUGUUUUACCUCCUGAGACUGGAACCUUUUACAGCCCUCCACCGUAAUCUUCAGGGUGGAAAAUUCGAUCACGCUGACCGGCUUUUUCAUAGCAUUGGAGGAACAUAUCGGAAUUGCCUUUCUAAUACAAGUGAUGUGAAAGAGUUGAUUCCUGAAUUCUUUUACAUGCCAGAAUUUCUGAUCAACUCAAACUCAUAUCAUUUUGGUGUCAAACAAGAUGGAGAACCAAUAGGUGAUAUUUGCCUACCUCCAUGGGCUAAGGGUUGUCCUGAGGAAUUUGUUAGUAAGAACAGAGAGGCCCUUGAAAGUGAAUAUGUGAGCUCAAAUCUACAUCAAUGGAUUGAUUUGGUAUUUGGUUACAAGCAGCGGGGAAAGCCUGCAGUUGAGGCAGCAAAUAUUUUUUACUAUUUGACAUAUGAAGAUGCUGUGGAUCUGGAUACCAUGGAUGAUGAAUUGCAAAGGUCUGCCAUAGAAGAUCAAAUUGCCAACUUUGGUCAAACACCAAUUCAACUUUUCCGGAAGAAACAUCCUAGAAGAGGACCUCCGAUUCCAAUUGCUCAUCCUCUACGAUUUGCCCCUGGUUCUAUUAACCUAAUGUCAAUGGCUUCAUGCGCAAGCAGUUGUCCGUCAGCUACUCUGUAUGUUAAUGUGCUGGACUCAAACAUUGUCCUUGUGAACCAGGGCCUCAGCAUGUCUGUUAAGACAUGGGUGACCACCCAAUUGCAGUCCGGUGGGAACUUUACCUUCUCUAGCUCACAGGAUCCUUUUUUCGGGAUUGGUUCUGAUAUCCUUCCUCCUCGGAAAAUUGGGAGUCCUCUGGCUGAAAAUAUCGAGCUUGGAGCACAAUGCUUUGGAACAUUAUCAACACCAUCUGAAAGUUUUUUGAUAACAUGUGGUACCUGUGAAAACAGCUUUCAGGUUAUUUCGCUAACUGAUGGAAGAAUGGUACAGAGCAUUAGACAACAUAAAGAUGUUGUGAGCUGCAUUUCAGUUACAUCUGAUGGAAGCAUCCUGGCUACUGGAAGUUUCGACACAACAGUAAUGAUCUGGGAGAUUGUUCGCAUCAGAACCUCUGAAAAGCGAGUAAAGCACACUCAAGCAGAGGUUCCUCGGAAAGAUUGUAUCAUUGCUGAAGCCCCUUUCCAUAUUUUGUGUGGUCAUGAUGACGUUAUUACGUGCUUGUAUGCAAGUAUUGAGCUUGAUAUAGUUAUAAGUGGAUCAAAAGAUGGAACUUGUGUUUUCCAUACGCUACGGGAUGGGAGAUACGUUAGAUCCCUACGACAUCCAUCUGGCAGUCCACUGUCAAAGCUUGUUGCAUCACGUCAUGGAAGGAUUGUUCUUUAUUCUGAUGAUGAUCUUAGUUUGCACCUCUACUCUAUAAAUGGCAAACACAUUUCAUCUUCUGAAUCCAAUGGCCGCCUAAACUGUCUUGAACUCAGUAGCUGCGGAGAGUUCUUGGCUUGUGCUGGAGAUCAAGGGCUGAUCAUCGUACGCUCUAUGAACUCACUUGAGAUUGUGGGGAAGUACAAUGGUAUUGGGAAAAUAGUAACUUCACUAACUGUGACACCGGAAGAAUGCUUUAUAGCCGGGACUAAGGAUGGAAGUCUUCUUGUUUAUUCAAUAGAAAACCCUCAACUUCGUAAAACUAGCAUUCCGAGGAAUUCAAAAUCCAAAGCUUCUAUGACAUAGUGAAUUUGCUGUUCUGGGCUGUGGUGUAAAUUUAACAAUACCAUCACUGGAAGUGAUGCUGAAUUGAGGGUGAAAUGAAGCAUAAUUAUGUCAUCAAAAAGACACGAGCUAUAUUAUGGAGUACGAGUACCUGAUUGGUGUUUCAUUUUUGAAGAGGAAAAUAUGGAUGUUUCUUCAGUAGCUAUUAUAGCAGUGCCCUCAAAUCGCUGUAUCCAUGACAGGAUUUUUCGAGCCUCAACCUGUAGAAAGAUAAAGAAUGGCAGAAUAUAGCACCAUCCAAACAUGAUGUGUUUGUGAUAUUCAGCUACUUGUGGAUGCAGUUGCCACCACCUAGUGUACAGCAUUUUGUGCACAUUUUCCUUGUAUGAGAGGCCUCAAAUGUUGUAUCAAGCGAUAACUGUAAUUAAACCGCGUUGAAAAUUAGCACCUUGUGAUUGUGAUCAUUGGGUGUUUAGCCCCAAAUGAUUUUUGUAUAGAUGGGCUUAACACCCUUAUAAGGAAAACCAUAUAAGUACUAUUAAAUGAAAAUUUCAUUGUGAUUUCC
This is an RNA transcript of Solanum stenotomum, 10539 nucleotides long. It is a transcript of the gene named BEACH domain-containing protein B, with no coding region annotated. The transcript is spliced from 41 exons. The record is from RefSeq and is a predicted model, not a curated record. NCBI's taxonomy places the organism in Eukaryota, Viridiplantae, Streptophyta, Magnoliopsida, Solanales, Solanaceae.